GACGAACGCUGGCGGCGUGCCUAAUACAUGCAAGUCGAACGCAGUGGGGACGGGUGAGUAACACGUGGGUAACCUCCCAUCAGAGGGGAUAACACUUGGAAACAGGUGCUAAACCGAUACUGAUGGAUGGACCAGCGGGGCAUUAGCGAGUUGGUGGGGUAACGGCCCACCAAGGCCACGAUGCAUAGCCGACCUUGGAUGGUUGUCGGCCACAAUGGGACUGAGACACGGCCCAGACUCCUACGGGAGGCAGAAGUAGGGAAUCUUCGGCAAUGGACGAAAGUCUGACCGAGCAACGCCGCGUGGGUGAAGAAGGUUUUCGGAUCGUAAAACUCUGUUGUUAGAGAAGCGGUAUCUAGCCAGAAAGCCACGGGUAACUACGUGCCAGCAGCCGCGGUAAUUC
This 403-nucleotide ribosomal RNA is filed under the name uncultured bacterium. Its description in RNAcentral is "partial 16S ribosomal RNA". It matches the Rfam family "Bacterial small subunit ribosomal RNA", at positions 28 to 526 of the family's 1533-position model. The record is from RNAcentral.